UAGGGAACCUUCGGCAAUGGACGAAAGUCUGACCGAGCAACGCCGCGUGAGUGAAGAAGGUUUUCGGAUCGUAAAACUCUGUUGUUAGAGAAGAACAAGGACGUUAGUAACUGAACGUCCCCUGACGGUAUCUAACCAGAAAGCCACGGCUAACUACGUGCCAGCAGCCGCGGUAAUACGUAGGUGGCAAGCGUUGUCCGGAUUUAUUGGGCGUAAAGCGAGCGCAGGCGGUUUCUUAAGUCUGAUGUGAAAGCCCCCGGCUCAACCGGGGAGGGUCAUUGGAAACUGGGAGACUUGAGUGCAGAAGAGGAGAGUGGAAUUCCAUGUGUAGCGGUGAAAUGCGUAGAUAUAUGGAGGAACACCAGUGGCGAAGGCGGCUCUCUGGUCUGUAACUGACGCUGAGGCUCGAAAGCGUGGGGAGCAAACAGG
RNAcentral lists this ribosomal RNA (429 nucleotides) under Gemmatimonadota bacterium. Its description in RNAcentral is "Gemmatimonadetes bacterium partial 16S ribosomal RNA". It matches the Rfam family "Bacterial small subunit ribosomal RNA", at positions 355 to 776 of the family's 1533-position model. Lineage: Bacteria; Pseudomonadati; Gemmatimonadota. The record is from RNAcentral.